CCCAAAUGUCCAACAAUGAUAGACUGGAUUAAGAAAAUGUGGCACAUAUACACCAUGGAAUACUAUGCAGCCAUAAAAAAUGAUGAAUUCAUGUCCUUUGUAGGGACAUGGAUGAAAUUGGAAAACAUCAUUCUCAGUAAACUAUCGCAAGAACAAGAAACCAAACACCACAUAUUCUCACUCAUAGGUGGGAAUUGAACAAUGAGAACACAUGGACACAGGAAGGGGAAUAUCACACUGGGGACUGUUGUGGGGUGGGGGGAGGGGGGAGGGAUAGCAUUGGGAGAUAUACCUAAUGCUAGAUGACGAGUUAGUGGGUGCAGUGCACCAGCAUGGCACAUGUAUACAUAUGUAAGUAACCUGCACAAUGUGCACAUGUACCCUAAAGCUUAAAGUAUAAUAAAAAAUAAAUAAAUAAAUAAAUAAGAAAAAGAAAGCCAGGCAUGGUGACAUGUGCCUGUGGUCCCAGCUAUUAGGGAGGCUGAGGUGGGAGGAUCCCUUGAACCCAGGAGGUUGAGUCUGUAGUGAGCAGUGAUUACGCCACUGCACUCCAGCCUGGGCAAGACCCUGUCUCAAAAAAAAAAAAGACUUAGAAUUGGUGAUCCAGGCCGCCUAAUGGCAUCAAAUAAUUUGUUAUAUCUUUAAUUUAUUGAAGGAUCACCACAUGCUUUUAAAUAGCAUGGAGAAAUGGAAAGAAUAGGGACUUUUUACUCAGGUAAUACCCAGCCUGCUACCUAACAGGUUGUGUUGUACUAAAUAAAAUGGUACAUAAGAAGAAACACUGUAAAUUAUAUAGUGCGAAUCAAAUAUUGUUAAUAAACCAAUAUCUGUAUAUCCUAUGUCCCGGAUUAAUCUUUAAUUUAGAUACUCCUUCUAGUUAUCUAAUACACAGCAGAGUGAGAAAAAUCAUUAUGGAUUAGGUUCUUUAGUAAGAAACCUGAGAUGGACUUCUCAUUAGCAUUAACUAGUUAUUGCCCAGCUUUGGAGAGCCUUCUUUUGGCUUAUCAUUUAUUAUAAGCCCAGAAAUAGGUGACUAAUCAGAGAUAAAUGUAUGGGUUGUCUGUAUCUAGUUUUAUGCCUUUUUUUUGCCUAAGACGUAGUCAAAUUAAUAUUUUAACUAAUACAUCUUAGCAGAGUUUAGUUAAGCACAAAGUUAACAGUGGGUAGGAUUGAAUCUUGAAAGUAAUCAUGUCUGUAAUGUUUUUCAUGCAUGCAAAAAGCACAGACAAAACCACUCAUGCCCUAUUAAUAAACAAAAUACAGAUCAAAGUUUUCAAAAGUAAUCACUCUAUUUAUUCUAAAUGUCUGUGGCUUUAGGAAAAUACCACCAGCUAGUACUUACCUAUUUAAAGAUGUAGAAUUUAUUAUCCUCUAAUAUUCUUAUCAGUUGUUUCCACAACUUUAGUUUACUAUUGGACUUUCAAAAAUUUAAAGAAUUACAAGUAAAAUUCAUUAAACACUUGUGUGUGAAUAGUAAUACACAGUAAUUAGUACAGCAUGUUGCUUCUUCAACAAAUUGAGUUUUCAGGGAAAUCAGCAAGUAAAUGAAAUAUAAAUUUUUGGUAAAAGUAUCAAACAUUCAUCUUGCCCAUUUUUCCUCUUAAACUUUAUUAUCUAAUCAAACAUAGUUUUCCAUAAGAUGUAAUAAAAUAUAGAUAAGGUUGGAAUAUUUGAGGAUCCAUUUGUGGAACUGAAUUUAAUGAGACUUCAUUGGUGAUACACUCAAUUUUUACUGGGUAAUUAGCUAAUAAUGUUGGUCACUGUCUCACAGUUCAAGUAGCUUUAAGAUGAUGUGGCAAGGAAAACACAAAGCUUUUGGGUAACCAGCGUUCUUAAAUGUAUGGUUUUUGACCAGGUGAACCCUUUAGAAGUGAUUUCUGUUUUAAAAGUAUGUACUUAAAAUACCUUUGGCUGUGAUGAAUGUAGAUCCCAGCAGAAUACCAAAAUCCUAUUUUUUUUGACUGAGUAUUUGUAGAUGCUUAAUGACUGAAAUGAAUUUGGAGGCACUGAUGAAAGUGAUUUUUUUAAAGUUCUCAGGUACUGUUCAAUUAUUUAAUGUUAAGUUUAGUAUCAAGAUACAGUUGUUUUUAAAAUGCCAAAAUGCUGUUUAUUAUACAGAAUAUUUUAUUACAUUUGCAAUAUCUUUGUAUAUAGUGAUUUUUUUCUUGAUAAUAAAUGGAAAAAUUCUAAAAC
This 2193-nucleotide long non-coding RNA is filed under the name Homo sapiens (human). RNAcentral's name for it is "non-protein coding lnc-REL-6:1". Lineage: Eukaryota; Metazoa; Chordata; Mammalia; Primates; Hominidae. The record is from RNAcentral.